AACGUAGGUUCCGAGCGUUAUCCGGAUUUACUGGGCGUAAAGCGCGUUCAGGCGGUUUGGCAAGUCGGGCAUGAAAUCUCUCGGCUCAACCGGGAGAGGUUGUCCGAUACUUCCAGACUUGAGGGCAGUAGAGGGUGGUGGAAUUCCGGGUGUAGUGGUGAAAUGCGUAGAUAUCCGGAGGAACACCAGUGGCGAAGGCGGCAUCCUGGACCGGCAUUGACGCUGAGGCGCGAAAGCUAGGGGAGCAAACGGG
RNAcentral lists this ribosomal RNA (253 nucleotides) under uncultured bacterium. RNAcentral describes it as "partial 16S ribosomal RNA". It matches the Rfam family "Bacterial small subunit ribosomal RNA", at positions 524 to 776 of the family's 1533-position model. The record is from RNAcentral.